This 450-nucleotide ribosomal RNA is filed under the name uncultured Glomeromycotina. RNAcentral's name for it is "SSU rRNA". It matches the Rfam family "Eukaryotic small subunit ribosomal RNA", at positions 569 to 1016 of the family's 1831-position model. The record is from RNAcentral. Lineage: Eukaryota; Fungi; Glomeromycota.
AGCAGCCGCGGUAAUUCCAGCUCCAAUAGCGUAUAUUAAAGUUGUUGCAGUUAAAAAGCUCGUAGUUGAAUUUCGGGAUUGACGUGAUGGUCAUGCCUUAAGGGGUAUGAACUGUUGCUGUUGAUUUCUCACCUUCUGGAGAAACUUGAUGUCCUUUAUUGGGUGUCUUGCGGAUCCAGGACCUUUACCUUGAAAAAAUUAGAGUGUUUAAAGCAGGCAUUUUUGCUCGAAUACAUUAGCAUGGAAUAAUAGAAUAGGACGGCAUGGUUCUAUUUUGUUGGUUUCUAGGAUCACCGUAAUGAUUAAUAGGGAUAGUUGGGGGCAUUAGUAUUCAAUUGUCAGAGGUGAAAUUCUUGGAUUUAUUGAAGACUAACUACUGCGAAAGCAUUUGCCAAGGAUGUUUUCAUUAAUCAAGAACGAAAGUUAGGGGAUCGAAGACGAUCAGAUACC